GAUGAACGCUGGCGGCGUGCCUAAUACAUGCAAGUCGAGCGAACAGACGAGGAGCUUGCUCCUCUGACGUUAGCGGCGGACGGGUGAGUAACACGUGGAUAACCUACCUGUAAGACUGGGAUAACUUCGGGAAACCGGAGCUAAUACCGGAUAAUAUAUUGAACCGCAUGGUUCAAUAGUGAAAGACGGUUUUGCUGUCACUUAUAGAUGGAUCCGCGCCGCAUUAGCUAGUUGGUAAGGUAACGGCUUACCAUGGCAACGAUGCGUAGCCGACCUGAGAGGGUGAUCGGCCACACUGGAACUGAGACACGGUCCAGACUCCUACGGGAGGCAGCAGUAGGGAAUCUUCCGCAGUGGGCGAAAGCCUGACGGAGCAACGCCGCGUGAGUGAUGAAGGUCUUCGGAUCGUAAAACUCUGUUAUUAGGGAAGAACAAAUGUGUAAGUAACUAUGCACGUCUUGACGGUACCUAAUCAGAAAGCCACGGCUAACUACGU
RNAcentral lists this ribosomal RNA (496 nucleotides) under uncultured bacterium. RNAcentral describes it as "partial 16S ribosomal RNA". It matches the Rfam family "Bacterial small subunit ribosomal RNA", at positions 28 to 506 of the family's 1533-position model. The record is from RNAcentral.